This is a non-coding RNA of Equus caballus (horse), 4722 nucleotides long. NCBI's taxonomy places the organism in Eukaryota, Metazoa, Chordata, Mammalia, Perissodactyla, Equidae. The record is from RefSeq and is a predicted model, not a curated record.
CUCUAACACUUACUAGCUGUUGUAGCUUUUGGGACAUUGGUUCAUGUCUCUGGGUCUUAGUUUCCUUAUCUAUAAAACAGGGAAAGUCAGUCCUCAGCUUACCUUAUAAUGUCAGAAUUUGGUAAAAUCACAUAAAGAUAGGUUUGUCUAUUAUAAAAUGCGGCACACUUGUGAGGUAAAUGAAAGUUGAGGAGAACGACAGCUAUCUAGAAAUACGGAAAGAAAAAAGGAAUCGGAGCAAAGGUAAAACAAAUUUGGGAUGGAAAAAGAAAAAACAAAUCAAGGGAAAGAAAAGGAGGAAAAACGAGGGAAUUUCAACAGAGAUAACAAAGGCUGUGAGGGGAAAUGCAACCAGUCAGGCAAACUGGGGGAGGGGCGGCAGGCAGCUGGGUCACGUUGCCGGCGGAGCCAUUUGAGUUCUGCACGGAGGCUGGGCGCUGGGCCGAUUUAGCUGUGACGCCCACCAGGCUUUCAUCGCCCUAUCCCCUAGGGCGCAUCUAAGGCCUAAGAUGGCGGCGUUUGCGCCGGAGGCAAGUACUCCAGGCGAACCAGGGGUGGAAACGCGGCCAAAGCACAAAUCUACGAAGGGAAGUCCAGAGACUGGCCCAUUUUUGUGUUGUGUCUUUUGUUGAACCGUGGCUCACCAUCUGACAUCAUGAGGCUCUACUUAACAAAUGUUAAUCUAAAAAGUCACAACAUGUGUCAACUUGGCUGCACUAAGUGAUGACCAGAUAACUGGUGAAACAUCAUUUCUGGAUGUGUCUGUGAGUGUGUAUCCAGAAGAGAUUAGUAUUUGAAUCACUAGACUGAGUAAAGACUAUCCACCUUCACCAAUAUGGAUGGGCAUCCUCCAAUCCAUUGAGUGCCUGAAUAGAACAAAAUGACAGAGGAAGGUUGAAUUCUCUCUCCUGCCCUCAGACAUCAGAGCUCCUGGUUCUGAAGGCCGUCAGACUCGAAGACUUGGACCAGCACCUCUCCCCUCCCCUAGGCUUUCUACCUGGGACCAGGAGAUACACCACUGGCUCCCUGGUUCCCAGGACUUCAUACUCGGACUGAGUUAUACCACCAGCUUUCCUGGUUCUCCAGCUUGGAGACAGCAGAUCAUGGGACUUCUCAGCCUCCAUUAUGACAUGAGCCAAUUCCUAUAAUAAAUCUCAUAUAUUUGUAGAUAUAUCCUAUUGGUUCUGUUUCUCUGGAAAACCCUGACUAAUACAACUACUUUAUGUGAAUGUGUAAAGUGAAGUAGUAAGAAACAGCACUCUCAAAUUUAAAUCUCAGAACUUAGAAUGCUCAAGUUAAUUUUGGAAGACUGACUUUCAAGCAUUAGAUUUAAAAUUUUCAUUUUUAUUUCAUAAUAUCUUCAAAUGUUAACCUUAAAAGAUUAGAGCAAUUAUAAUGAGAAAAAUCUACCAGUGGAGCAAUUAUACCUUGCUCUAGUAAAUUUAUUUGAGAAUCAUUAUAACCAUUUAUCAUUGGUUCCUAAAUUGGGCUAUAUUCGUGAUAAUUUGUUCCAAAAAUAAAAUAAUGUAUUUUCCAAUGUAUUCACAAGUGUCUAUCAUCAAGAUUUUUUGUAGACUAAUAGAACUAAAGUUAAUGUUUUGUAGUGUUUUUUACUGCAAUAAUAUUAAAUAUGCUAAUUAUUGAAAAGUAAAUUGCAGGCAUUAAUAAAAACAUUGGAAAGCAAAUAAAAAUAAACUAUUUUAUAUACAUAUAGAAUUCAUAGUAGUUGGGUAUCUUCUUAUUAAGUCUGGGAAACAUCACUUCUAAGUAACAACACCUCUUUGGUCCUGUCAUUUUUUAAAAUAGGUUUGUAGCAGACAAACCAUCAGUUAACCCAUAAUGAUUUGUUAUUUACCAGCAGUCACACCUUUGCUUAUUCCUUUGCCCUUGUAUGCACGCAAUACCCGUGACUUCUAACCAAAAGCAAAUUCUAAACAAUGGCAAAAGUGAUAGAAUGUCACUCCCUUACUUAGGUUAUGUUAUAUGGCAAAAAUAGCUUCUAUGAUUACAUAAGUAAGAAUCUGUCUUAUCAGACUGGAGGACUGUCAUUGCUGGUUUGACAAUGUAAGCAGUUAUGUUGGAGAAGCACGUGGGAACAGGAACUAUUCCUGAAUCAUUUAGGACCUGAGGACAGUCUCCUGCUGGCAGCCAGCAAAAAGCCUGGAACUUUGGUUAUAUAGCCACAAGAGCAUGAAUUCUGCCAACAACCUGAAAGAACUUGGAAGUAUAUUCUUCCUCAGUUAUUCCUCCGACGAAAAUGCAGCCCAGCCAACAUUUCCAUUACAGUCUCGUGAGACCCUAAGCAGAGCAUGCAAUUAAGCUGUCCCAGAUCCUUGGCCUACGGAAAACAUGAUAUAAUAAAUAUGUGCUGUUUAAAACUAAGUUCAUGGUAAUUUUUAAGCAGGAAUAAAAAACAAAUACGAGGUUUAGUGUGAAUCUUAGUUGGUUCUCUGCAAAUAACCUAUCUUUCAAAAACUUCUUUUUGCAAGGUAAGAAUUUAAUCCUGAUUCACCCUAUAGAGACCCCAGUGAAGAAUUUCCAUGACAUAAAAUGGGAAGAGGCUAUUUUGUCUUGAAUGAUGUUUUCUGUAUAUUAAACACACCUGCAAAGACCCCUAUAUCAUUGAAGAUUGUCUUCAUAAUAAGUGGCACGGGAAGUUGUUAUAUGAAUGAGCCAAAGAUGGCCCCUGUAUAUUGGCCCUACAUUCUUUUCCUUCUUUACAGCAGGCCAUAACAAUUAGCUUAAAAGCUCACCAGUGCCAAACUCAAAUUUUUACACGUUUUGAAAAUUUUUACAAAUUUACACAUUUUGCGCAAUUGCUUUAAAUGUAGCCUUUAUAAAAUAUUUUUAGCUUUUUAGGGUUUGCCUGACUUUUAUACUUGUAAACUGAACUUGUAAAUCUGCUGGCCAUAGAUAAGGUAGACCCUGGUGCUAUAAAUGACCCCAAGCCUCUGCUGCCCUUUAGAGCUCUCUGACUCAGAGUCCCCAUCUUGCUGCCAAGUGAUAUCACCUAGACAUAAGGCCCCGCUUCUAUUCCCUUCUUGCCUGGGAGUUUCCAUGCGCUCCUCCCCUUCUGAGUGGUAGACCUCUGGAAGGUCUCUUGCUGUGAGAACUCCCCCAUACCCCAUCCUUUAUACAAAUCUAUUCGAGUACCACCCAAAUAACGUUUCUUGUGUGCUACUGCCACCUUGUGGUCACAUUUUUUUCUAAAUCAGCUCAGAAAUCCCCAAACUCGCUACAGAAAUUGACCCUCUGCUUAUAAAUGUUAUCUCCUUUUCUAUAGAAACCAUUUCAGAGGUGUAACAGAUAAGCUGUCAGGAACUAUAUCAGAAGCCGUUUGAAUAGGCCUUGACCUGUUCUACUAAUAUCUUUUUUGAUUAGCAUUCAAAAAGAUUAGUAUAUUCUUCAGGAUUGCUCUUAACAUCUUAAUAUUUUUGUUUUCUUUAUAAGCAGGUUUAUGAGCUACCUACUGUUAUGUAACAAAUUGCCCCAAAAUAGAAUGGUUUAAAACAACAAACAUUAAUUAUCUGACAGUUGGUAGGGGUUAGGAAUUUGGGUGGAGCUUAGCUAAUAGUUCUGGCACAGCAGCUCUUAGGACAUUGGAAGCAUGGAGUCCGCUGGGACUGCAAUCAUCUGAAAGUUUGACUGGGUUAUAGGAUUCACUUAUAAGAUUACUCAAUCAUGUUGCUUUUGGUAGGAAUAUUCCAUUCCUUUUAUUGGGCCUCAGUGUGUAACACUUGGCUUUCCCCAGAGUGAAUAAUUCAAGAGAGAGAGCAAGGAAGAAGCACUCAAUGAUUUUUGUGACAUAGUCCUUCUGAGUCAUGUACCAUCACUUCCACUUUCUUUUAUUCAUUACAAUUGAGUCACUAAAUACAACCCACAUUCAUGGGAUGAUAGUUUGACUCCACCACUUAAAGGAUGGAAUAUUAGAGAAUUUGUAGAUGUAUUUUUUAACCAUUAUAGGAGUGAUAUCAGCAAUGACAAAGAAAAGGAUUCAAAAUCUUGCCCCUCCAUAAAAUCAAUGAACAAAUGGACAAAAUUAACAUUUUUUGGAACUCUGGAAAUUGACCAAAGGCUUGAAUCAACCUAGGCAAUGCUUAUUCUAGAAAGUAUAGCUGAUUCUUGAUAAGAACAGCAACGUUUGUACCAUUUAAUUUACCUCAGUCCCAUUCUCCAAUCCUUGGCUAAACGUUAGCAGUGAAAACAAGAGCCCACAUUCUUGGGACUGGAGGGGCAGAACAGACUUCAUUUAUAAGUAAAUGUAAUUAAUUAUUUGUUCUUACCUGUCUGGUGGCUACCUGGGAGACUAAUUAAAGUUUUUAUCUUUAUUUCAUCUAAUUCAGAACUGAGCUAGUAAUAAAGAUGUUUCCCAGGAGGCAUUUGUUGAAAACAUGUAUAAGAUAAUGUCUUAGGUUGCUGCUGCCUGAAGCAAUAGGUAACAGUUGGGGCAUAUAAUACACUAACAAAACAGCUUGAGAGGAAAGGCUGGGGAAUGACAUAUCUAAAAAGGCUUUGAAAAGCUCUGUCAAAUACUUGGUAAUCUAAAAAGCCACAUGCCUACUCAGGACUGUGUGCAUACUCAGAAAAAAACCUGAGUAGACCCUAGGUCUCUCUCCUCUUGCUGACCUUGAGGCUCUAUGGAGGUAGAAAAUGAAGACAAAGGCAGAAUUGUAAACUGCCUGGCUCAGUGUUGGAGAUGUGCCCCAACACAGACAGAGCCCA